Molecule: ribosomal RNA, 468 nt
Filed under: uncultured bacterium
Lineage: Bacteria
Description: partial 16S ribosomal RNA
Rfam family: Bacterial small subunit ribosomal RNA
Source: RNAcentral
GACGAACGCUGGCGGCGUGCUUAACACAUGCAAGUCGAACGGAAAGGCCCUGCUUUUGUGGGGUGCUCGAGUGGCGAACGGGUGAGUAACACGUGAGUAACCUGCCCUUGACUUUGGGAUAACUUCAGGAAACUGGGGCUAAUACCGGAUAGGAGCUCCUGCUGCAUGGUGGGGGUUGGAAAGUUUCGGCGGUUGGGGAUGGACUCGCGGCUUAUCAGCUUGUUGGUGGGGUAGUGGCUUACCAAGGUGUUGACGGGUAGCCGGCCUGAGGGGGUGACCGGCCACAUUGGGACUGAGAUACGGCCCAGACUCCGACGGGAGGCAGCAGUGGGGAAUAUUGCACAAUGGGCGGAAGCCUGAUGCAGCAACGCCGCGUGCGGGAUAACGGCCUUCGGGUUGUAAACCGCUUUCGCCAGUGACGAAGCGUGAGUGACGGUAAUGGGUAAAGAAGCACCGGCUAACUACGUG